UGGGGAAUAUUGCACAAUGGAGGGAACUCUGAUGCAGCGACGCCGCGUGAGUGAUGAAGGAAUUCGUUUCGUAAAACUCUGUUCUAUGGGAAGAAAAGGACUGUACCAUAGGAGAAAGCUCCGGCUAAAUACGUGCCAGCAGCCGCGGUAAUACGUAUGGAGCGAGCGUUGUCCGGAAUUAUUGAGCGUAAAGGGUGCGCAGGCGGCUUUACAAGUUGGAUGUGAAAUAUUGUGGCUCAACCACAAACGUGCAUCCAAAACUGCAAAGCUUGAGUUAAGGAGAGGUAAGUGGAAUUCCUGGUGUAGCGGUGGAAUGCGUAGAUAUCAGGAGGAAUACCGGUGGCGAAGGCGACUUACUGGACUUAAACUGACGCUCAGGCACGAAAGCGUGGGGAGCAAACAGG
This 404-nucleotide ribosomal RNA is filed under the name Fusobacteriota bacterium. Its description in RNAcentral is "Fusobacteria bacterium partial 16S ribosomal RNA". It matches the Rfam family "Bacterial small subunit ribosomal RNA", at positions 355 to 776 of the family's 1533-position model. The record is from RNAcentral. Lineage: Bacteria; Fusobacteriati; Fusobacteriota.